This 501-nucleotide ribosomal RNA is filed under the name uncultured bacterium. RNAcentral describes it as "bacterial SSU rRNA". It matches the Rfam family "Bacterial small subunit ribosomal RNA", at positions 29 to 502 of the family's 1533-position model. The record is from RNAcentral.
AACGAACGCUGGCGGCGUGGAUAAGACAUGCAAGUCGAACGAUUACUAGUGGGUAGCAAUAUUCGCUAGUGAGAGUGGCGCAAGGGUGCGUAACACGUGGGUAAUUUGCCGUGAAGUCUGGGAUAACUUGCUGAAAGGCGAGCUAAUACCGGAUGUGAUUACUGGAAGGCAUCUUCUGGUACUUAAAGUCGGGGACCGUAAGGCCUGACGCUUCUCGAUAAGCCCGCGGCCUAUCAGCUAGUUGGUGAGGUAACGGCUCACCGAGGCUAAGACGGGUAGCUGGUCUGAGAGGACGACCAGCCACACUGGAACUGAGACACGGUCCAGACACCUACGGGUGCAGCAGUCGAGAAUUUUUUCNCAAUGGGCGAAAGCCUGAAGGAGCGACGCCGCGUGGGGGAUGAAUGGCUUCGGCCCGUAAACCCCUGUCAUUUGCGAUCAAACCUUACGACCUAACACGUCGUGAGCUGAUAGUAGCGGAAGAGGAAGGGACGGCUAACU